RNAcentral lists this ribosomal RNA (459 nucleotides) under uncultured bacterium. RNAcentral describes it as "partial 16S ribosomal RNA". It matches the Rfam family "Bacterial small subunit ribosomal RNA", at positions 338 to 795 of the family's 1533-position model. The record is from RNAcentral.
CCUACGGGGGGCAGCAGUGAGGAAUAUUGGUCAAUGGGCGGAAGCCUGAACCAGCCAAGUAGCGUGCAGGAUGACGGCCCUACGGGUUGUAAACUGCUUUUAUACGGGAAUAACGCGCCUUACGUGUAGGGCUUUGCAUGUACCGUAUGAAUAAGGACCGGCUAAUUCCGUGCCAGCAGCCGCGGUAAUACGGAAGGUCCGGGCGUUAUCCGGAUUUAUUGGGUUUAAAGGGUGCGUAGGCGGGCAUUUAAGCCGGCGGUCAAAUGUCGGGGCUCAACCCCGGCCUGCCGUCGGAACUGGGUGCCUUGAGUGGGCGAGAAGUAUGCGGAAUGCGUGGUGUAGCGGUGAAAUGCAUAGAUAUCACGCAGAACCCCGAUUGCGAAGGCAGCAUACCGGCGCCCUACUGACGCUGAGGCACGAAAGUGCGGGUAUCGAACAGGAUUAGAUACCCCUGUAGUC